RNAcentral lists this long non-coding RNA (2378 nucleotides) under Homo sapiens (human). Its description in RNAcentral is "HSALNT0236098". The record is from RNAcentral. Lineage: Eukaryota; Metazoa; Chordata; Mammalia; Primates; Hominidae.
CGUGUUUUUCAGAGAUUUUAUUAAGAAUAAGGCAUAUGACAGUCACCCCUAAAGCACAGGGCUCUAUUUCUGUGGGUGAGUGAAUACACUCUGAAAAGCAUUGGAUACAAAAGCGCAGCCAACAGAGAAUUUGGAGCAGGGUCCCUCUGCCCUGCCACAGGGCUCCUGCCAGGUGGGUUUGAAGCCCUGCACAUCCCCCAUUCAAGGCUGGCAUGUCCAGGAGAAGGUGCUUGGAGACCCCCGGCUCCCCGCGCUUCGAAGCUGCCCCACACCCUCUAGGCCUCCUUCCUCUCUCCACCAGGGGGGACGCCAUCCUACUGCUUAUAUGGGGAAGGGUUAUCCCAUUUUGGCCCUGGACUAGUCCCCCAAGCUAGAGGGUGCUGUGGCUGAGCUGUGGGGGCCAGGGGUACAGAGCCUCAAACCGCACUGCCCAGUGCUCCCUGGCUGAUUUCCAGAGCAGGGGGAGGUCCCCACCUGCAGCUCUGUGUCCUGGAGCUGUCCAUACUUGGGGUGUGGCAGGAGCUCCGCCUAGGGACCUGAGUGUCCUCUUCAACACUCUCUCUCCCAAUGGGGAUUCGUGCAGCAGAGGAGAGAGAAAUGCAGUCCUUUCCCUUCUUAGUCACCAAGAUAUUCCAGGGGCCAGGAGCGCGUGGGGGUGCGAGGUUUCCCUUUGGCCAGGUGGGCUCUCAAGCCAGACCCAGGGAGGGUGGGGCCUCUCCAGGGCCCUGAGGCUGAGGAGAGUUGGGCCCCUGUGGCCAAGAGCGGGUGGAGGGGUUUCCAUUAUUUCCAGGAGGGCGAGGAGGGGAAUUUCUGUGAAAACUGGAACCCUGUAUCUGCUACAGGUGCUCCCCCAGCUUGCCUUAUUUCCUUUCCCAGGCACCUCCAGCACCUCAGCUGAGAGUCAGUGAGUCAGCUGCCCCAGCACCCAGAACCUUUCAUCUAGGGGAUCUCCAAGCACCUCACAAACAAUUGUCAUUAUCUGUGGUUGCUGGAAGAGGGAUGGGAGUUGGGUGGAGCUGAUGGGGUCACUUCGGGAGAAGCAGGCAGGCCACUGGAAGAUCCCUGGGACCAGAGUGCGGUGGGGGCCCCUAGCUGGACACCCUGGAUGCCCAGGAGGGAAGGGGGAAGGGGGCUAUUGCUAUAGAGCUGGGGGGAGGCCAGGCGGACGGAGCUAUGGCUUUUAGUGGGUGGGUGGGCAGAUAGAGUACUUCACCAUCUCUGCAGAAGAAUCGACCUAACAAAGUCACCCUGUUCACCCCAAAAGUGUGGUCGUGGGAGAUGAGGGUCUGUGCACGCUCCUCUGGAAAGAGACUUUGCCCUUCUUCCCACAGUCCUCUGGGCACCUCCGAGAGAGGAGUGAGGCCCUCACACACAAGACAGGUUCUGAAAGGGAGGGGGACAGAAUAGGGGUGCAGUGAGUUACACACACUUGAGGGGGGACAGAGAUGGUACAGGCGCAACCACAGGACUAGUAGAGAGUAGAGGUGGGGGCAGGCAGAGCAAGGACCCCAGGCCACCUUCUUGGCCCAAGUUGGACUGGAGAGCACUGUCCCAAGGGUGCCCCAACCUCAGCCAUCUGCAUCCCAGGAGCUGGACACCCCAGACCAGGCGUGGUUAUUGCUCAGUGGUCUUGGGCAGUCCCGAGUGGCGUCAGCUGGGAGAGCCGCACAUUGCUUGGCCCUGAGUGCGCUCGCUCACUGGUUUCUACUUCUUGCCAAUUUCCUGCUCCAACAAAUGGAGAGAAAGGGGGUGUGAUCUGGGACUCCCCCUUCUUCAUGGGGCUGUGAUGGGAGAAGAGCUCGUCACCCCUAGAGCUUGACUCUGCUCACCUCCCAGACCCCUGCGUGACAGAAUGUGUGGCCUCAGCCAGGGUCAGGACCUGUCAGGAAAGGGGUGUCUGUGAGGGAGGCAAAGGCCUCUCCCUGCCCCACGUCCUCCCCUCGAAGCCCCUGGAAGACCUCACAGGCACUUAGGACUUGAUGCAGGACCCACACAGGAGGGAUGGCACGGGCUGGAGGGGUUUGUGUUUCCUUCUAGGCUGGGCUGGGGGUGGGGGAAUAAGCUGCGCUGAAACUGUCCUUCCUGCCUUUGGUGGUGGACGGGGAGCUUGGGAGAAGGGGCGUUAGGAGGUGGGGCUUUCCCCUUUCCACGUCGCCAUUCCCCAGGCUAGACAGCAGGGAACUGAGCAGCCCGCCACUGCCAGAUUCUGAUAGGUUUAGGGGCAUCCGUGGAGGGGGCCAGGAUGGGGACUAACCUGUGCUCCCACCAUCCCCCCAGCAAACACAAACCCAAACUCCUAUCAGUAGCUGCCACUUCCAAGAAGCCAGGCCCUUCUUCUUUUUUUCGUUUUUGAGACGGAGUUUUGCUCUUGUUGCCCA